Long non-coding RNA from Engraulis encrasicolus (European anchovy), 413 nucleotides. RefSeq lists it as uncharacterized. The transcript is spliced from 3 exons. The record is from RefSeq and is a predicted model, not a curated record. Lineage: Eukaryota; Metazoa; Chordata; Actinopteri; Clupeiformes; Engraulidae.
CAAGACCAUCAUCGCACACAACCCUGACAAGUUCGCUGAGGUAUGUUUGGGUGGUCGUGUGUUCGUCAGGGCCAGGUGUAGCCUCUCGCUGUGUGAGGAGCUGGACUGCACAGGAUGCCACAACCUGCACAUGUGUGAAGAUUACAUGGUGGGCAUCUGCGAAGACCCUGGAUGUCCCUAUUCUCAUGAUCUGCACUCCACCCAUAACCUGUGGGUCUUAAAGGAGCAUGGCCUGAUUGGUCUGAAGGAACAUGAGAUCUACGUCCUCCUAUCCCAGGACGAGCCCCCACCUCGCACGCCCCCCGCACCCCCCAAAACACACGCUGACCCUCCUCACACCCUCCAAGACAACAAUGACCAGCCUCACACCCUCCAAACACACACUGAGCCCCCUUACGCCCCUCAAACACACA